Molecule: ribosomal RNA, 495 nt
Filed under: uncultured bacterium
Lineage: Bacteria
Description: partial 16S ribosomal RNA
Rfam family: Bacterial small subunit ribosomal RNA
Source: RNAcentral
GAUGAACGCUGGCGGCGUGCCUAAUACAUGCAAGUCGAGCGAACGGACGAAGCUUGCUUCUCUGAUGUUAGCGGCGGACGGGUGAGUAACACGUGGAUAACCUACCUAUAAGACUGGGAUAACUUCGGGAAACCGGAGCUAAUACCGGAUGAUAUUUUGAACCGCAUGGUUCAAAAGUUAAAGACGGUCUUGCUGUCACUUAUAGAUGGAUCCGCGCUGCAUUAGCUAGUUGGUAAGGUAACGGCUUACCAAGGCAACGAUGCAUAGCCGACCUGAGAGGGUGAUCGGCCACACUGGAACUGAGACACGGUCCAGACUCCUACGGGAGGCAGCAGUAGGGAAUCUUCCGCAAUGGGCGAAAGCCUGACGGAGCAACGCCGCGUGAGUGAUGAAGGUCUUCGGAUCGUAAAACUCUGUUAUUAGGGAAGAACAUAUGUGUAAGUAACUGUGCACAUCUUGACGGUACCUAAUCAGAAAGCCACGGCUAACUACGUG